GCAAACUUGGUCAUUUAGAGGAAGUAAAAGUUGUAACAAGGUUUCCGUAGGUGAACCUGCGGAAGGAUCAUUAACAAAUCCAAUAUAUGUGGAGUUUACUCUACAAUAUUAAACCGCCGGUCCUUUAUAAUAUUAUUAUUAUGCGGUACUGGUUGGAUAUAUAUGCGUGUUAUGUUGACAGUGUGUGUAAUUAUAAAUUUAUUGACAACUUUUAACAAUGGAUCUCUAGGCUCUUGCAUCGAUGAAGAACGCAGC
RNAcentral lists this unclassified non-coding RNA (255 nucleotides) under uncultured fungus. Its description in RNAcentral is "partial contains small subunit ribosomal RNA, internal transcribed spacer 1, and 5.8S ribosomal RNA". The stretch from base 1 to 73 matches the Rfam family "Eukaryotic small subunit ribosomal RNA", at positions 1759 to 1831 of the family's 1831-position model. The record is from RNAcentral. Lineage: Eukaryota; Fungi.